This 24-nucleotide non-coding RNA is filed under the name Rattus norvegicus (Norway rat). The record is from RNAcentral. Lineage: Eukaryota; Metazoa; Chordata; Mammalia; Rodentia; Muridae.
CAGCUCUGUCUUCUUCCUGUUCUG